UGUGUAGGCGGUUGCUUAAGUUUGGUGUGAAAUCUCUCGGCUCAACUGGGAGGGUGCGCCGAAUACUGAGUGACUCGAGUGCGGGAGAGGAAAGUGGAAUUCCUGGUGUAGCGGUGAAAUGCGUAGAUAUCAGGAGGAACACCGGUGGUGUAGACGGCUUUCUGGACCGUAACUGACGCUGAAACACGAAAGCGUGGGUAGCAAACAGGAUUAGAUACCCUGGUAGUCCACGCCCUAAACGAUGCACAUUUGGUGUGGGUCAUUCAGUUGAUCCGUGCCGGAGCUAACGCGUUAAAUGUGCCGCCUGGGGAGUACAGUCGCAAGGCUGAA
RNAcentral lists this ribosomal RNA (330 nucleotides) under uncultured bacterium. Its description in RNAcentral is "bacterial SSU rRNA". It matches the Rfam family "Bacterial small subunit ribosomal RNA", at positions 568 to 898 of the family's 1533-position model. The record is from RNAcentral.